This 400-nucleotide long non-coding RNA is filed under the name Elaeis guineensis (African oil palm). Its description in RNAcentral is "long non-coding RNA (EGUI_LNC008732)". Lineage: Eukaryota; Viridiplantae; Streptophyta; Magnoliopsida; Arecales; Arecaceae. The record is from RNAcentral.
CUUCGAUGUUCUAAGUGCUUUUAUCAUUUAGUUCACUUUGGCUAUUCUCAAAAAAUUAAAUUUAUCUUAAUCUUUAUUUUUUUCAAUAAAAAUUAUAGCAUACAAUAAUAUACAGAUUAAACGGAUUUGGUCGGAUCGAGUCGAUUAAACAGGUCAUUCAUCUAAUAAACAGAUUAAAUGAUAAAUAAGUUAACAAAGUUGGGUCAGAUCGAUUAAAUAGAUUAACUAUUUAAUAAAUAGAUUAAAGGGUCGAAUCGGAUGACCUGUUUAUUAAAUGGGUUAGAUUCAGAUUUGAAAAUCUGAUCUGUUUAAUAAAUAGGUCGGAUUCAAUUUUGAUAUUUUUUGAUCCGACCUACAUUUGAUCCGAUUCGUUUAUGAUCCACUCAACCCGAUUGCCACC